AUUGAACGCUGGCGGCAGGCCUAACACAUGCAAGUCGAGCGGAUGAAGGGAGCUUGCUCCUGGCUUCAGCGGCGGACGGGCGAGUAAUGCCUAGGAAUCUGCCCGGUCGUGGGGGCUAACGUCCGGAAACGGGCGCUAAUACAGCAUACGUCCUGAGGGAGAAAGUGGGGGAUCUUCGGACCUCACGCUAUUAGAUGAGACUAGGUCGGAUUAGCUAGUUGGUGGGGUAAAGGCCUACCAAGGCGACGAUCCGUAACUGGUCUGAGAGGAUGAUCAGUCACACUGGAACUGAGACACGGUCCAGACUCCUACGGGAGGCAGCAGUGGGGAAUAUUGGACAAUGGGCGAAAGCCUGAUCCAGCCAUGCCGCGUGUGUGAAGAAGGUCUUCGGAUUGUAAAGCUCUUUAAGUUGGGAGGAAGGGCAGUAAGUUAAUACCUUGCUGUUUUGACGUUACCAACAGAGUAAGCACCGGCUAACUUCGUG
This 484-nucleotide ribosomal RNA is filed under the name uncultured bacterium. Its description in RNAcentral is "partial 16S ribosomal RNA". It matches the Rfam family "Bacterial small subunit ribosomal RNA", at positions 30 to 507 of the family's 1533-position model. The record is from RNAcentral.